CGGUGUCAGCGGCAGACGGGUGAGUAACGCGUGGGAACAUACCUUUUGGUUCGGAACAACACAGGGAAACUUGUGCUAAUACCGGAUAAGCCCUUACGGGGAAAGAUUUAUCGCCGAAAGAUUGGCCCGCGUCUGAUUAGCUUGUUGGUGAGGUAACGGCUCACCAAGGCGACGAUCAGUAGCUGGUCUGAGAGGAUGAUCAGCCACAUUGGGACUGAGACACGGCCCAA
This 230-nucleotide ribosomal RNA is filed under the name uncultured bacterium. Its description in RNAcentral is "partial 16S ribosomal RNA". It matches the Rfam family "Bacterial small subunit ribosomal RNA", at positions 87 to 334 of the family's 1533-position model. The record is from RNAcentral.